Molecule: ribosomal RNA, 505 nt
Filed under: Blastocystis sp.
Lineage: Eukaryota; Bigyra; Opalinata; Blastocystidae
Description: SSU rRNA
Rfam family: Eukaryotic small subunit ribosomal RNA
Source: RNAcentral
GCAUGCAUGUGUAAGUAUAAAUAAUUUUACUUUGAAACUGCGAAGGGCUCAUUAUAUCAGUUAUAGUUUAUUAGAAAUAUUUUACUACUUGGAUAACCGUAGUAAUUCUAGGGCUAAUACAUGAGUAAAACCUCAACUUCGGAAGAGGUGUGUUUAUUAGUAUGAAAACCAUAUAUCUUCGGAUAUAAUAGUGAGUAAUAAUAACCUUUCAUAUCGUAUGUCGUAAGAUAACGAUAGUUCUUUCAAGUUUCUGCCCUAUCAGCUUUCGAUGGUAGUAUAUGGGACUACCAUGGCAGUAACGGGUAACGAAGAAUUUGGGUUCGAUUUCGGAGAGGGAGCCUGAGAGAUGGCUACCACAUCCAAGGAAGGCAGCAGGCGCGUAAAUUACCCAAUCCUGACAUAGGGAGGUAGUGACAAUAAAUCACAAUGCGGAACUUUUAAUUUUGCAAUUGGAUUGAAAACAAUGGACAAAUGGUAUCGAUAAACAAUUGGAGGGCAAGUCUGG